AAACAGCUGUGAUUUGAAACAGAUUUUGUCUCAGUUAAACCGGUAUUUUAAAGAGCAUCUUGUUGUUGUGAAGCAUCUUAAUACGGUUGCAUGCUUUUCUUAAUGCUUGCCUUUGUACAAAGUAGAGACAAACAUCAGUGGUCGAAUGCUCCUUAUUAAAUUACCUGUUGCAGGAGACCAAUACCAUUAAAGUGGGGUCUCUAUUUUACACAGCUGUUUAACAGCAUGAGAUGGAUGAACUCAUUUGUUAAAUUGGGAUCUGUAAACAAAAGCAAAUGGGAGGAAGAGCAACAGAGACAAUGAGUAAUGGAAACACAGUUUCCAGACUGCAGAAGCCAGAGCUUUACUAGAAAAUAUCUGCAGCCCCGAGGAAAGGCUUUCCGGGGUCCCUGUGACUGUUACCUAGCAACAAGCCCAUCGUGCAGGGCACAGUGGAGUCCAGUUUAACAGGGCUCAGGAAGAACACCUGGACAAGUUAUAAGGAGAAGAGGUUUAUUUGACUCACAGCUUUGCAGACUGUACAAGGAGUAUGGGGCCAGCAUCUGCUUCUGGUGAGGGACUUCAGAAGCUUCCAUGCAUAGCAGAAGGGGAAGCAGAUCAGGCAUCACAAGGCAAGAGAAGAAGCAAGAAAGAAAGGGGAGGAAGUACCAAGCUUUUUUAAAACAAUCGAUUCUUAUAGGAACUAUUAGAGUGAGAACUCACUCACUUCUGGGAGGGUGGCACCAAGAUGUUCGUGCAGGACUGCCCCGAUGAUCAAAACCCCUCCACCAGGCCCCACCUCCACCACGGGGAGCACAUUUCAACAUGAGACCUGGUAGGGACAGACAAACUGUCCAAACCGUAGCACUCAUCACCCAUUCAUCCAUCCAUUGAUUCAUUUUUUCACACAUUUAUUGGGCACGCUUACAGUGUACCAAAUACUGGGUCAAAGUUGCUGGGAAUACUCUGGACCCCUCUGUGGUGACUAGGCAACCCCAAGCUUCUGGAAAAACUGGCAAAACCCAGGCUAUCUGAAAUAACAAGAAGAAAUUGUUGAUUUUUAACCUGUAAAUUCUCUUAGAAUUUGGUUUCCCCGAAAUGAGUUAUUUGCUUUGUGAUGCCUGUUACUUACUGUAUCGAUUAGAUUUGAGAAAAUGAAGGAUAGAUAAUGUGAAAUGCUGAGAUGUGACUUGUAACUUUGGCUUUGCUGAGGGGCAGCUUGUAACUUUGGGUCUGCUGAACUGUUCCGGUAACAACAGGAACUCUGUGAAUGGGACUAACCACAUAGCUUGACUGCCGGAGAGAGAUGACAGCAGGUAAUAGGCUUCUCGUUGCAGAGAGCCUAUAAACAGACCUGUAAUGGAGAGGCUUAUUACCCAGAUUCCUUUCCCAGCGAAGGCAUAUUGAUUAGAGCCCUGGCAAGGGAAUGCGACCCUUAUGGAGAGCCUACGAACGGACACAUGAGGGGUGUCUGUCUCUGUGGUUGAGAUAAGGAUGUGAAAGCCUUUCUUCACCCACUGCUCCCCCAGGCCUGCAUGGAGACCCGCUCCUCUCGCAGAUUUUGUGAUCAGGCUGGUUGUCCUGUGUCAGAUCCUGUUCCCCCUGUAGUUGUGAGCCCAAUAUGUUCUUGCUGAUAAUCAUAAGUUUAUGUUUAACCUAUAUUCUUGCUAAGGUGUAUGGUUUCUAUGCUGACACACAGAAAGUUAUCCUUACAUUGUUCUGCUUUUAAAAUACGAAAUUGUGAUUCUGGUGCACCAGUUUUUGCAAAUGUAUUCUUUUUGUAUAAUUAUCACUGAAACUUUGCUCCCCCUCCCCGAUUGAAAGAGCACAAUGAAAAACUGAGGUUUUCAGGGGAAUGUCAGACAUCCACGGAGCAGCAUUAUGUGGUGUCUCCCCUGGGCCCAGCUUUAAGGAAAACUUUUUCCUUGUCUCUCUUUCUUUUUCACCGACCACUCGAUCACUUUGAGAGAUCUUGAAUCUACGUUAAUAUACUGGGAGCUGGUCUCACCAAUAAAGAAUCCUACAGGAAAUCUUAGGAAUACUGUAUAGGAACACUUUUGCUCAAAACUCCUCUCAGGCAAGGCUCUCACCUCCUUGGAGCACUCAGCUACUAAUUUAUCUAAACCAUUAGUACUCCCCAUUAACACAACUCAGGGCCACUCUUCACAAGCAUCACUAACCAAAGAGCCACAUGCCUCUGAGUGUUGUUUAAUAUGUU
Molecule: long non-coding RNA, 2197 nt
Organism: Sapajus apella (tufted capuchin)
Lineage: Eukaryota; Metazoa; Chordata; Mammalia; Primates; Cebidae
Exons: 3
Source: RefSeq, a predicted model, not a curated record